This 643-nucleotide long non-coding RNA is filed under the name Anser brachyrhynchus (Pink-footed goose). RNAcentral describes it as "lncRNA (ENSABRG00000016988.1)". The record is from RNAcentral. Lineage: Eukaryota; Metazoa; Chordata; Aves; Anseriformes; Anatidae.
AUCUUGAAUGCAAGGUGGACAUCUCAUUUCUUCAACAGACUAUCAAGCUGUUCCCUGAGACCACCCCCUUUCAUCCUAAAUCGAUGAAUUUUAACACAAUAUGUAAACUAUGUGAGACCAGUGUAUAUUCAGUGUAUUACCACCGUGGGCGAAGAUAUUUCAUCCUUUUUUCCGCAUCAUGCUGAUGUUCCUGAAGGAUGCUUCCUAUUUCUGGAUGCUGCUCUGUUCGGAUGUGAAGCAGUAAUCAUCAAGUGAAGUGUGUGCUGCGUCCUGAUUGAAUGGGUAGAAAUGAAGGACAGUCACAGCCAGCAGGAGGAGGUAGCAGGGUUCUUCCUGCCCUGGCUUCAGAGGCACUCUCACCUGGCACCUGAAUACCCAAUGGAUGGGAAUUGCAUGCUUUUAACUUCCUGCGACUAUUUGGUCUCACCCUGCUUUACCCAGCUUUGGGAGAACACUGAGAGGCAAAACUGGCUAGAGAAAGAGUCAGAGGAUGAUCUAUUACGAAUGGAGGAAAGGAAGGCAGAGAAAGAAGAAAUCCCAGGACAAGUAUGGAUGACAGCAUGAAAUGCAAUUAGCAGUUCAAGAUGUAUAGCUUUGGCUAGGAAACAAAAAAUAAAUGGCUUGGGAAUCAUUGUGAAAAGCA